RNAcentral lists this ribosomal RNA (517 nucleotides) under uncultured bacterium. Its description in RNAcentral is "bacterial SSU rRNA". It matches the Rfam family "Bacterial small subunit ribosomal RNA", at positions 501 to 1016 of the family's 1533-position model. The record is from RNAcentral.
CUACGUGCCAGCAGCCGCGGUAAUACGUAGGUGGCAAGCGUUGUCCGGAAUUAUUGGGCGUAAAGCGCGCGCAGGCGGAUAGGUCAGUCUGUCUUAAAAGUUCGGGGCUUAACCCCGUGAUGGGAUGGAAACUGCCAAUCUAGAGUAUCGGAGAGGAAAGUGGAAUUCCUAGUGUAGCGGUGAAAUGCGUAGAUAUUAGGAAGAACACCAGUGGCGAAGGCGACUUUCUGGACGAAAACUGACGCUGAGGCGCGAAAGCCAGGGGAGCGAACGGGAUUAGAUACCCCGGUAGUCCUGGCCGUAAACGAUGGGUACUAGGUGUAGGAGGUAUCGACCCCUUCUGUGCCGGAGUUAACGCAAUAAGUACCCCGCCUGGGGAGUACGACCGCAAGGUUGAAACUCAAAGGAAUUGACGGGGGCCCGCACAAGCGGUGGAGUAUGUGGUUUAAUUCGACGCAACGCGAAGAACCUUACCAGGUCUUGACAUCCCUCUGACCGCUCUAGAGAUAGAGCUUUC